Molecule: ribosomal RNA, 465 nt
Filed under: uncultured bacterium
Lineage: Bacteria
Description: partial 16S ribosomal RNA
Rfam family: Bacterial small subunit ribosomal RNA
Source: RNAcentral
GACGAACGCUGGCGGCGUGCUUAACACAUGCAAGUCGAACGGAAAGGCCCCUUUUGGGGUACUCGAGUGGCGCACGGGUGAGUAACACGUGAGUAACCUGCCCUUGACUUCGGGAUAACUUCAGGAAACUGGGGCUAAUACCGGAUAGGAAUCCUUGCUGCAUGGUGGGGGUUGGAAAGCUUCGGCGGUUUUGGAUGGACUCGCGGCUUAUCAGCUUGUUGGUGGGGUAGUGGCUUACCAAGGCUUUGACGGGUAGCCGGCCUGAGAGGGCGACCGGCCACAUUGGGACUGAGAGACGGCCAAGACUCCUACGGGAGGCAGAAGUGGGGAAUAUUGCACAAUGGGCGGAAGCCUGAUGCAGCAACGCCGCGUGCGGGAAGAAGGCCUUCGGGUUGGAAACCGCUUUCAGCAGGGGCGAAGCUUGUGGUGACGGUACCUGCAGAAGAAGCACCGGCUAACUACGUG